CGAGCCUGAUGCAGCCAUGCCGCGUGUAUGAAGAAGGCCUUCGGGUUGUAAAGUACUUUCAGCGGGGAGGAAGGUGUUGAGGUUAAUAACCUCAGCAAUUGACGUUACCCGCAGAAGAAGCACCGGCUAACUCCGUGCCAGCAGCCGCGGUAAUGA
This 156-nucleotide ribosomal RNA is filed under the name uncultured Enterobacteriaceae bacterium. Its description in RNAcentral is "partial 16S ribosomal RNA". It matches the Rfam family "Bacterial small subunit ribosomal RNA", at positions 378 to 525 of the family's 1533-position model. Lineage: Bacteria; Pseudomonadati; Pseudomonadota; Gammaproteobacteria; Enterobacterales; Enterobacteriaceae. The record is from RNAcentral.